GUGAGGUAAUGGCUCACCAAGGCGACGACGGGUAGCCGGCCUGAGAGGGUGACCGGCCACACUGGGACUGAGACACGGCCCAGACUCCUACGGGAGGCAGCAGUGGGGAAUAUUGCACAAUGGGCGAAAGCCUGAUGCAGCGACGCCGCGUGAGGGAUGACGGCCUUCGGGUUGUAAACCUCUUUCAGUAGGGAAGAAGCGAAAGUGACGGUACCUGCAGAAGAAGCACCGGCUAACUACGUGCCAGCAGCCGCGGUAAUACGUAGGGUGCAAGCGUUGUCCGGAAUUACUGGGCGUAAAGAGUUCGUAGGCGGUUUGUCGCGUCGUUUGUGAAAACCAGCAGCUCAACUGCUGGCUUGCAGGCGAUACGGGCAGACUUGAGUACUGCAGGGGAGACUGGAAUUCCCGGUGUAGCGGUGAAAUGCGCAGAUAUCGGGAGGAACACCAGUAGCGAAGGCGGCUCUCUGGGCCGGUACCGACGCUGAGGAGCGAAAGCAUGGGGAGCGAACAGGAUUAGAUACCCUGGUAGUCCAUGCCGUAAACGUUGGGCACUAGGUGUGGGGGACAUUCCACGUUUUCCGCGCCGUAGCUAACGCAUUAAGUG
Molecule: ribosomal RNA, 604 nt
Filed under: uncultured Actinomycetes bacterium
Lineage: Bacteria; Bacillati; Actinomycetota; Actinomycetes
Description: bacterial SSU rRNA
Rfam family: Bacterial small subunit ribosomal RNA
Source: RNAcentral